AUUGAACGCUGGUGGCAUGCCUUACACAUGCAAGUCGAACGGCAGCACGGGUGCUUGCACCUGGUGGCGAGUGGCGAACGGGUGAGUAAUACAUCGGAACGUAUCUUAUCGUGGGGGAUAACGCAGCGAAAGCUGUGCUAAUACCGCAUACGCCCUGAGGGGGAAAGCGGGGGAUCGUAAGACCUCGCGCGAUUAGAGCGGCCGAUGCCUGAUUAGCUUGUUGGUGGGGUAAAAGCCCACCAAGGCGACGAUCAGUAGCUGGUCUGAGAGGACGAGCAGCCACGCUGGGACUGAGACACGGCCCAGACUCCUACGGGAGGCAGCAGUGGGGAAUUUUGGACAAUGGGGGCAACCCUGAUCCAGCAAUGCCGCGUGAGUGAAGAAGGCCUUCGGGUUGUAAAGCUCUUUUGUCAGGGAAGAAACACCGGCUCUAACACAGUCUGGGAAUGACGGUACCUGAAGAAUAAGCGCCGGCUAACUACGUGCCAGCCGCCGCGGUAA
This 501-nucleotide ribosomal RNA is filed under the name uncultured bacterium. RNAcentral describes it as "partial 16S ribosomal RNA". It matches the Rfam family "Bacterial small subunit ribosomal RNA", at positions 30 to 523 of the family's 1533-position model. The record is from RNAcentral.